UUGUGUGUGCAAUAUCCUCCGCAGGUCAACUAACUA
RNAcentral lists this ribosomal RNA (36 nucleotides) under Thamnobryum alopecurum. RNAcentral's name for it is "partial 25S ribosomal RNA". Lineage: Eukaryota; Viridiplantae; Streptophyta; Bryopsida; Hypnales; Neckeraceae. The record is from RNAcentral.